Molecule: ribosomal RNA, 253 nt
Filed under: uncultured bacterium
Lineage: Bacteria
Description: partial 16S ribosomal RNA
Rfam family: Bacterial small subunit ribosomal RNA
Source: RNAcentral
UACGUAGGAUGCAAGCGUUGUCCGGAUUUACUGGGCGUAAAGCGCGCGCAGGCGGCACUCUAAGUACGUCGUGAAAUAUCCCGGCUCAACCGGGAGGGUGCGAUGUAGACUAGGGAGCUAGAGGUCGGUAGAGGGGGGUGGAAUUGCUGGUGUAGCGGUGAAAUGCGUAGAGAUCAGCAGGAACACCCGUGGCGAAGGCGGCCCCCUGGGCCGUACCUGACGCUGAGGCGCGAAGGCUAGGGGAGCGAACGGG